This is a long non-coding RNA of Lagenorhynchus albirostris (white-beaked dolphin), 1005 nucleotides long. RefSeq lists it as uncharacterized. Lineage: Eukaryota; Metazoa; Chordata; Mammalia; Artiodactyla; Delphinidae. The record is from RefSeq and is a predicted model, not a curated record. The transcript has 2 exons.
GGCACCGGCGCCCCUCCCUAAAUGGCCGAGAGGGAACCCCUAACGUGGCCGCGGGGCACUGACGGCCCAAAGCCGAGCCCGGGAAGGGCCGGGAGCCCCAAAGGCCGCCCCACCGCGGCAGAGCACGAGCGUCCCGCGCCAGCUGCCGGACCACGGGCCACGCCGCACACUCGCCUCCACUUCCGUCCACGCAGAGUGGGGGCCGCCAUCUCUUACUUUCGGCCACCUACCCGACGACAAAGACACCGGGAAACUCCGCGGAAGCCGUCUUUCGCGAGGAGCCUGCUACAAUCCCCGCGUGUCCCAGAAACAGGCCAGCCUCUCAGCGUGCCGUACCGCCACACAGGAAGCCGCCAUGUUGUACAUCUUGUACGGCAAAGCCCUCCAUUUCCGGGACCGGCCGCUGACUUGACCCGUGAGGCGCGAGCCAACAAAGGUGGCGUGAGCGCCCUCUGGCGGCGGCGCCGGAGUAGCGCCGCCAGCUUUGACCUGCGGGGAAUUCUGCUUCCGGGUCUCCUGGGGGUGGGGCAUUGACGUGAGCUCGGAGCUGGGUCGCGGCUGGGGUGGCACCCGAGCGUGCGCAACGGCGAUGGCGCGGGGCUGCGGGCUGGGAUCGCGUGGGUUGAGGGUCUGCGUGGUCUGUUACCUCGCCCCCUCCUGGGAGGCCCGUGCUGUUAUUACCAUUUACGGGGGACACGGGUUCGAGCCCUGGUCUGGGAAGAUCCCUGCAUGCCGCAAAGCAACUAAGCCCGUGCGCCAGAACUACAGAGCCUGCGCUCUAGAGCCCGUGAGCCACAACUACUGAGCCCGCGUGCCACAACUACUGAAGCCCACGUGCCUACAGCUCAUGCUCAGCAACAAAAGAAGCCACCGCAAUGAGAAGCCCGCGCACCACAACAAACAGUAACCCCCGCUCGCAGCAACUGGAGAAAGCCCGCGUGCAGUAACGAAGACCCAACGCAGCCAAAAAUAAAAUCAAUUUAUCGAAAAAAACAAAAAACCCCA